This 408-nucleotide long non-coding RNA is filed under the name Carica papaya (papaya). Its description in RNAcentral is "long non-coding RNA (CPAP_LNC008437)". Lineage: Eukaryota; Viridiplantae; Streptophyta; Magnoliopsida; Brassicales; Caricaceae. The record is from RNAcentral.
ACAAUGCUAACAAGGUUGGUUAUAUUAGGUAGGUUGAACUAUAGGUGAACGCAAAGUAGGGGGGAGAGAGCAACUUUAGUUUAUUUAUAAAGGUGGCUACUUAUUCGGUCACGUAAUCUCCUUCUAAGCUAUUGGGGUUGUUGUUCGGUACGAACUCGGGCAAUGCAUUGGUGCUUGGCUGAGAUGAGAUCUUCAGCCAACUGGGCAUGUUCGAGCACCUCGGCAUACGCUUGGGUCUCAGCAUCGCGACCCGUUCAUAGAUGUUGGCACAAAGGCCCUUGAAAAACUUCCUAACUUUUUGGCUCUCGGGGGUGACCAUUAGAGGUGCAAACCUAGACAAUUGAACAAAAUAGGCUGCAUACUAGAAAACUAUUAGACUCCCUUAGUGGAGGUCUUGAAAUUCCUCCU